RNAcentral lists this ribosomal RNA (207 nucleotides) under uncultured bacterium. Its description in RNAcentral is "partial 16S ribosomal RNA". It matches the Rfam family "Bacterial small subunit ribosomal RNA", at positions 568 to 774 of the family's 1533-position model. The record is from RNAcentral.
CGGGCAGGUGGCCUUUUAAGUCCUUUGUGAAAUCCCGGGGCUCAACUCCGGAUGUGCAUAGGAUACUGGAAGGCUAGGGACUGGUAGAGGCGAGCGGAAUUCCUGGUGUAGCGGUGGAAUGCGUAGAUAUCAGGAAGAACACCGGUGGCGAAGGCGGCUCGCUGGGCCAGAUCCGACACUCAUCCGCGAAAGCGUGGGGAGCAAACA